GACGAACGCUGGCGGCGUGCUUAACACAUGCAAGUCGAGCGGUAAGGCCCCUUCGGGGGUACACGAGCGGCGAACGGGUGAGUAACACGUGAGCAAUCUGCCCAUCACAUCGGGAUAACUCCGGGAAACCGAAGCUAAUACCGAAUACGACCACCUCCGGCAUCGGAUGGUGGUGGAAAGUUCCGGCGGUGAUGGAUGAGCUCGCGGCCUAUCAGCUUGUUGGUGGGGUAACGGCCCACCAAGGCUUCGACGGGUAGCCGGCCUGAGAGGGUGACCGGCCACACUGGGACUGAGACACGGCACAGACGAAUACGGGAGGCAGCAGUGGGGAAUAUUGGACAAUGGGCGAAAGCCUGAUCCAGCAACGCCGCGUGAGGGAUGACGGCCUUCGGGUUGUAAACCUCUUUCAGCAGGGACGAAGCGCAAGUGACGGUACCUGCAGAAGAAGCACCGGCCAACUACGUG
RNAcentral lists this ribosomal RNA (465 nucleotides) under uncultured bacterium. RNAcentral's name for it is "partial 16S ribosomal RNA". It matches the Rfam family "Bacterial small subunit ribosomal RNA", at positions 28 to 507 of the family's 1533-position model. The record is from RNAcentral.